UCAGGUCGGGAGGGGCAGAGAGAUCAGGGGUAGAGAUGGGGAACAGCGGGGACUAGGCUGGAGAAAGAUGUAGGAGAACAGCAGGGCUGGGGGACUGGUUGGAUGGGGAUAACCAAGAUAGCUGUGGGGCCCGAAGGUGCUUGCAUGUACCCGGUUGGGGAAGGGGUAGUGCUGUAUCCUCUCGACAGACCUCUCUGGGGUGAACAGCCUGGGGCACCCAAGAUGAGGUGGAGAAAGGUGGGCUGAGGCAUGGGAAGCAGGUCCUCAUUAGCCCAAUGGCCAGGCUGCGGCGUUCCUGCCAUCAAACCGGCACUGAGCUUCAGCCAGAGGAUUGUCAACGGGGAGAAUGCAGUGUCGGGCUCCUGGCCCUGGCAGGUGUCCCUGCAGGUACACCACCGGAGGAGUGGGCAGGGUCCUGGGUACGUCAUGCCUAGGGGCAGCCUCAGCAGCCCACUCGCACUCUGACCUCUGAGCCCUGACCACAGGACAGAAGCGGCUUCCACUUCUGCGGUGUUCUCUCAUCAGCCAGUCCUGGGUGGUCACUGCUGCCCACUGCAACGCCAGCCCUGGCCGCCAUUUUGUUGUCCUGGGCGAGUAUGACCGAUCAUCGAACACAGAACCCUUGCAGGUUCUGUCCAUCUCUCAGGCCAUUACACACCCUAGCUGGAACUCUACCACCAUGAACAAUGACGUGACGCUGCUGAAGCUCGCCUCGCCAGCCCAGUACACAACACGCAUCUCGCCAGUUUGCCUGGCAUCCUCAAACGAGGCUCUGACUGAAGGCCUCACGUGUGUCACCACCGGCUGGGGUCGCCUCAGUGGUGUGGGCAAUGUGACACCAGCACGUCUGCAGCAGGUGGCUUUGCCCCUAGUCACUGUGAAUCAGUGCCGGCAGUACUGGGGCUCAAGUAUCACUGACUCCAUGAUCUGUGCAGGUGGCGCAGGUGCCUCCUCGUGCCAGGGUGACUCCGGAGGCCCUCUUGUCUGCCAGAAGGGAAACACAUGGGUGCUUAUUGGUAUUGUCUCCUGGGGCACCAAAAACUGCAAUGUGCGCGCACCUGCUGUGUAUACUCGAGUUAGCAAGUUCAGCGCCUGGAUCAACCAGGUCAUAGCCUACAACUGAGCCCACCACAGGCCCCUCCCCAGCUCAACCCAUUAAA
RNAcentral lists this small RNA (1160 nucleotides) under Pongo abelii (Sumatran orangutan). RNAcentral describes it as "retained intron". The record is from RNAcentral. Lineage: Eukaryota; Metazoa; Chordata; Mammalia; Primates; Hominidae.